GACGGGGGGGGCAAGUGUUCUUCGGAAUGACGGGGCGUAAAGGGCACGUAGGCGGUGAAUCGGGUUGAAAGUGAAAGUCGCCAAAAAGUGGCGGAAUGCUCUCGAAACCAAUUCACUUGAGUGAGACAGAGGAGAGUGGAAUUUCGUGUGUAGGGGUGAAAUCCGUAGAUCUACGAAGGAACGCCAAAAGCGAAGGCAGCUCUCUGGGUCCCUGCCGACGCUGGGGUGCGAAAGCAUGGGGAGCGAACAGG
Molecule: ribosomal RNA, 251 nt
Filed under: uncultured bacterium
Lineage: Bacteria
Description: partial 16S ribosomal RNA
Rfam family: Bacterial small subunit ribosomal RNA
Source: RNAcentral